AUUGAACGCUGGCGGCAUGCUUUACACAUGCAAGUCGAACGGUAACAGGCCGCAAGGUGCUGACGAGUGGCGAACGGGUGAGUAAUGCAUCGGAACGUGCCCAGUCGUGGGGGAUAACGCAGCGAAAGCUGCGCCAAUACCGCAUACGAUCUAUGGAUGAAAGCGGGGGACCGUAAGGCCUCGCGCGAUUGGAGCGGCCGAUGUCAGAUUAGGGAGGUGGUGGGGUAAAGGAGCUCCAAGCCGACGAUCUGUAGCUGGUCUGAGAGGACGACCAGCCAGACUGGAACUGGGACACGGCCCAGACUCCUACGGGAGGCAGCAGUGGGGAAUUUUGGACAAUGGGGGCAACCCUGAUCCAGCAAUGCCGCGUGCAGGAAGAAGGCCUUCGGGUUGUAAACUGCUUUUGUACGGAACGAAAAGACUCUGGUUAAUACCUGGGGUCCAUGACGGUACCGUAAGAAUAAGCACCGGCUAACUACGUGCCAGCCGCCGCGGUAA
Molecule: ribosomal RNA, 498 nt
Filed under: uncultured bacterium
Lineage: Bacteria
Description: partial 16S ribosomal RNA
Rfam family: Bacterial small subunit ribosomal RNA
Source: RNAcentral